UAUGGCCAUAUCACAUUGAAACACCAGUUCCCCUAUGAUCAUCAAAGUUAAGCAAUGUUGAGCCUGGUCAGUACCUAGGUGGAUGAUCAUUUGGGAAUACUAAGUGUUGUAAG
This is a non-coding RNA of Acanthosepion pharaonis, 113 nucleotides long. The record is from the annotation of a GenBank genome assembly. NCBI's taxonomy places the organism in Eukaryota, Metazoa, Mollusca, Cephalopoda, Sepiida, Sepiidae.